RNAcentral lists this ribosomal RNA (253 nucleotides) under uncultured bacterium. RNAcentral describes it as "partial 16S ribosomal RNA". It matches the Rfam family "Bacterial small subunit ribosomal RNA", at positions 524 to 776 of the family's 1533-position model. The record is from RNAcentral.
UACGUAGGCAGCAAGCGUUGUUCGGAAUUACUGGGCGUAAAGAGUGUGUAGGCGGUGCCCCAAGUCUGGUGUGAAAUCUCCCGGCUUAACUGGGAGGGUGCAUUAGAAACUGGAAUGCUAGAGGAUGGGAGAGGUAAGCGGAAUUCCUGGUGUAGCGGUGAAAUGCGUAGAUAUCAGGAGGAACACCUGUGGUGUAGACAGCUUACUGGACCAUUUCUGACGCUGAGACACGAAAGCGUGGGUAGCAAACAGG